GACGAACGCUGGCGGCGUGCCUAAUACAUGCAAGUUGAGCGCUGAAGGUUGGUACUUGUACCAACUGGGUGAGCAGCGAACGGGUGAGUAACGCGUGGGGAAUCUGCCUUUGAGCGGGGGACAACAUUUGGAAACGAAUGCUAAUACCGCAUAAAAACUUUAAACACAAGUUUUAAGUUUGAAAGAUGCAAUUGCAUCACUCAAAGAUGAUCCCGCGUUGUAUUAGCUAGUUGGUGAGGUAAAGGCUCACCAAGGCGAUGAUACAUAGCCGACCUGAGAGGGUGGUCGGCCACCUUGGGACGGAGACCCGGCCCAAAGUCCUACGGGAGGCAGCAGUAGGGAAACUUGGGCCAGGGAUGAAAGUCUGACCGAGCAACGCGGAGUGAGGGAAGAAGGUUGUCGGAUCGUAAAACUCGGUUGGUAGAGAAGAAAGUUGGUGAGAGUGGAAAGCUCAUCAAGUGACGGUAACUACCCAGAAAGGGACGGCUAACUACGUG
RNAcentral lists this ribosomal RNA (497 nucleotides) under uncultured bacterium. RNAcentral describes it as "partial 16S ribosomal RNA". It matches the Rfam family "Bacterial small subunit ribosomal RNA", at positions 28 to 507 of the family's 1533-position model. The record is from RNAcentral.